CACGCUGAAUUCAGCUAUCAUCACCACUCAGAUACGCCAUUGAUGCUCUGCUCUCUCAGUCUUUCUCUCUUAUGGGAGCAUUGUCAGUUCCCGCCAGACACCAUUUUCAACGUUUAGAAGAAAUAAAGAGUUACUUUCGUUUUCAUUGUUGAGGCUUAGAUUAAACACAGCAAUGGAUUCUCCAAGACGGAAGGAUUCCCCUUCAGGGAAUUACCGUCACCACAAGGAUAGUGGACGUAGUAGAUCUCCUGGACAUCGCCAUCAAGCACGGCGUUCUCGUUCUUAUGAUGAGGAUAGAGACAGAAGGUCACAUCAUGAUAGACGUGACAGAGGUGACAGGGGAGGUGAUAGAGGAGGAGAUCGUUAUCACAGUCGUUCCAGAUCACCAAUGUCAGGCAGAAAACGCCACAACAAUAUGCAUGGUGGCAGUCAUCGGGGUGGAGGAGGAGGUGGAGGAGGUGGUGGUGGAGGAGGUGGAGGUGGAGGUGGUCCACCAGACAAUCCAGAACCCACCCGUUGCCUUGGUGUAUUUGGAAUGGGACUAUACACAACUGAGACAGAAUUGCAGCAUGUGUUUGCCAAAUAUGGUCCCCUUGAGAAAGUACAAGUUGUUAAAGAUGCUAAGACCGGACGUUCACGGGGGUUUGCCUUUGUUUAUUUUGAGAGUCUGGAAGAUGCUAAAUUGGCCAAAGAGCAAUGUACAGGCCUAGAAAUUGACGGUCGGCGCAUUCGUGUGGAUUAUUCAAUUACUCAACGACCUCAUACUCCUACUCCGGGCAUUUAUAUGGGUAGACCCACAAUAACUAGUGGGCGUUAUGACAAAUACGACCGUAAUGAAAGAGGAUACCGUCGGUCACCUUCGCCCUACUAUGAGAAAAAUUACCGUUCCAGCCGUCGAGGUUACGAGCGUUCACGCUCGCGAUCUUAUUCUCCACGUCAGCAAGACAAAACUCGCGAGAAGUUUUGGAAGAGAGAAGGUUGAAGUUGAUUUGAGUCAAGAACAGAAAAAGGAUAAAGACAGCUCAGAAAACAGAAAAGGAAAAGGCGCAGCUCAGAAAACAGAAAAAUUUUAAGAACGAUUUGCUGUGGAAAGGGGGGAAGAUUUCUCACUGAACGAAGUCUUUACUCUGAAGAGAUCACUUUGAAACUAUCGGCUCAACUGGAGAUCUCGACAAGCUUGCUGCAGUUGAAAUUCAAUUUCAAGAUUCAAAAAAGAAGAUAUAAGUUUUCCUAGGAUGUCAAGUUAUUGGUUUAACGUUCAUUGACAUCCGACUGAAUUGGAAAAAAAUAAUGAUAAUCCAGCUGCUGUUGAAGACCAUUUUAUGUAUUAUUUCUGUUCUUCAAAGGCCUGGCAGCUGGUGAUAAGCCCCAAUACUAGACUGAUCCAUGUCCGUGAAUUCUUGUUGGAUCAAAAUUGAGAAAAAAAUAUAUAGUACACUCGACUGAACCGAGUUCGUCGUACCAUGUGCACCGACCCACGCAGAAAUAAGCCAAUCGGAGGAUCGUCCUUCAACAUCAACAUCGCCUCAUGACCCUGCUCUUUACAUUGAAGCCAGCUGCAUUUAUCGAACCGUGUCGUGACAGUCGAAGCGUGAAAAAGGCAAUAUAUUUAAUAUACUGUCAAAGGUAAAUGACAGUCGCCGUGCACGCGUGAAGGAGUUUGUAUCCGGUAUCCAUCAAUUUAUUACGUAAGGCCAACCUCUCCAUCACAGUAUGUCUAACUCUAUUGUCUCUUUUUCCUUUAAAAGUUACUGUUUUGUUUUAAAUUAAAUUUGAGAACUUGUUGAGAAAAUUCAGUUUAAAAGAACCAUCAUAGAUAAUUGAUAAGUUGUAUUAACAUUAAGACGUACAUCAAUUAAUAUUCAAAGUUUAUAGCGUGAAUAAUGAUUGUGGAUUCCACCGGUGGAAACCCGCCACAUGUGUUGAUAUUUACCGUUGUUGAACACGACCGCCACUGACAUCAAUAGCUAAAUUAGAUUAACACGUAUAGCAAAUCUGAAAAGAUCGCAAAUUGGAAGCCGAACGGAAACAGCAAGUUCUUGAAGGACGCGCCCAACCGCCUUUAGCUGCCAAUGACGCGAUGUUGCGUUUGUUGGAUGUUACCAGUUCACUGUAAUCAUCUAUGAAAAGAACCAAUAAGAACAGUGAGAAAAAGCCUCGGUCAAAAGGCUUCAACCCAAAGUAUAACCCAGCAAGAACUUUCCCUGAUGCGUCUCGCUUCAAUAAUGACUUGAAGUUGUAAACCAGGUUGCGUCGCUCUGUGCAGUCAACUGGAGAUAGAAACGCCUAAAACGAUGGAAAUAUCAAUGAAAUACCUGAUGCGUGUAAAUGAGAGCAGAUUCACAUUCCUCAAUUCCUUUGCGGGUUUCCUUGACAUCCCAGAGUACGUAGCGACCACUUGGAUGGAAUGUAUAAUUAUAGAGGCGUCGUGAUCUACUAGUGCCACCAGGCUUGAACCAGCCUACAAGUAAUAUGAAUGGAAAAAGUUAUCGGAGAUGAUUUUUCGUAUAAUAAUGUAUGAACAUAUGUUACUACCAGUGUGAGGGUAGAGACCAUCUUCCAUGACUGUCACAGGUUGAGGGACGUGGUAACCAGUAUCUAGUAUUAAAACGCCUACACGAUCUUCCAGUUCGAUGUUCAAAGCAAUGACGACAUGUUCUUUUUCAGACGUGCGGGUAUCUGGAGUUGGAGUCGAAACGUAUCGAUUUACGUUUCCAAUAUCCUUUCAUGUUAUACCACAAACAAACCGUUCAGUUAAACAGAUAUAUGUAAACAGAGGACUUUUGUUGUCGAUGUUGAUCGACAGGAUUAUUACCUCUUCGCAUGAAGCUAGAAAGAGAGCCGAUCCGAUACCAGGGAUCUUCACCUGUUGGUAGUAAAGUGACCCGGGAUUCUGUUUUUCACAAUCAUUAUCGAGCCGAAGUCCUGCCGAGAUGGACAGUGGGAAGAUUGGAGUGUUGCUGAGUCAGCUUGGCCAUGUCGAGCCCCAGCCGAACCUGCGGUAAUUUUCUGGCUCAGCCAAGCCAGCUACGCAGUCGUCGCCGAUUUGCGACUCCUGUGCCGUCCAUUGGCAUACUUUUCUCUCGGCUCUUUCUUUUCCCUCCAGAUCUGUAA
This is an RNA transcript of Daphnia pulex (common water flea), 3114 nucleotides long. It is a transcript of the gene named transformer-2 protein homolog alpha-like, with no coding region annotated. The record is from RefSeq and is a predicted model, not a curated record. Lineage: Eukaryota; Metazoa; Arthropoda; Branchiopoda; Diplostraca; Daphniidae. The transcript is spliced from 12 exons.